GAGAAAGACACAGCAAGAACUGCUAACUCAUGCUACCGUAUAUAACAAUACGGCUUUCUCA
This 61-nucleotide transfer RNA is filed under the name Scaptonyx fusicauda. RNAcentral's name for it is "tRNA-Ser". Lineage: Eukaryota; Metazoa; Chordata; Mammalia; Eulipotyphla; Talpidae. The record is from RNAcentral.